Molecule: unclassified non-coding RNA, 431 nt
Filed under: Hevea brasiliensis (rubber tree)
Lineage: Eukaryota; Viridiplantae; Streptophyta; Magnoliopsida; Malpighiales; Euphorbiaceae
Source: RNAcentral
UUUUUUUUUUUUUUUUAAGAUUUGGGCUACGGAGAAGACAAGACGAACUUACAUAUUUUCUAGGGCUUUUAUAGAUGUGCAGCUAAGGAAGAAAAGAAAGGAAGCAAGCCAGAUUAUAAGUACUAAAGAAAGAAAUUUUUUUUUUUCAAAUUUUUUUGGGGUUUUUGGGUGAAGGAAAUAUGAAAAUUACAUAAUUGAUAUGUUUUUAUAAUGUUAUGGUUAAGGAAGAGCGGUGAUGGAUUGAUCCAGCUUCCAAAAAACCAAAUCAAUAUACUAUGCGAAAGUAGAAACUAGAAAACAUCUGGGUGGCUUUUUGAUGGGAAAAGAAAAUAAUCUAAGGAAGACACUGGAACUGGAGCAGAAGCAAGAGAAAGCUAGUAAAGCGUUAAGGAAGAAGAAGGAGGCGCCGCCUGCUCAACUCCUCCAUAGAA